UCCAGGGUAGCCGAGUGGAAAAGGCACCUGCCCGGUAAGCAGAAGGGUGUGGGUUCGAUUCCCGCCCCUGGAC
This 73-nucleotide transfer RNA is filed under the name Cordylochernes scorpioides. RNAcentral describes it as "tRNA-Thr". It matches the Rfam family "tRNA". Rfam says of the family: Transfer RNA (tRNA) molecules are approximately 80 nucleotides in length. Their secondary structure includes four short double-helical elements and three loops (D, anti-codon, and T loops). Further hydrogen bonds mediate the characteristic L-shaped molecular structure. tRNAs have two regions of fundamental functional importance: the anti-codon, which is responsible for specific mRNA codon recognition, and the 3' end, to which the tRNAs corresponding amino acid is attached (by aminoacyl-tRNA synthetases). tRNAs cope with the degeneracy of the genetic code in two manners: having more than one tRNA (with a specific anti-codon) for a particular amino acid; and 'wobble' base-pairing, i.e. permitting non-standard base-pairing at the 3rd anti-codon position. Lineage: Eukaryota; Metazoa; Arthropoda; Arachnida; Pseudoscorpiones; Chernetidae. The record is from RNAcentral.